Molecule: long non-coding RNA, 922 nt
Filed under: Salmo salar (Atlantic salmon)
Lineage: Eukaryota; Metazoa; Chordata; Actinopteri; Salmoniformes; Salmonidae
Description: lncRNA (ENSSSAG00000086718.1)
Source: RNAcentral
GCUGUAUCUGUGGUGGGUUAAUGUAGUGUGGCUGUAUCUGUGGUGGGUUAAUGUAGUGUGGCUGUAUCUGUGGUGGGUUAAUGUAGAUUGGCUGCAUCUGUGGUGGGUUAAUGUAGAUUGGCUGUAUCUGUGGUGGAUUAAUGUAGUGUUGCUGUAUCUGUGGUGGGUUAAUGUAGUGUGGCUGUAUCUGUGGUGGGCUAAUGUAGUGUGGCUGUAUAUGUGGUGGGUUAAUGUAGUGUUGCUGUAUCUGUGGUGGGUAAUGUAGUGUGGCUGUAGAUUGGCUGUAUCUGUGGUGGAUUAAUGUAGUGUUGCUGUAUCUGUGGUGAGUUAAUGUAGUGUUGCUGUAUCUGUGGUGGGUUAAUGUAGUGUGGCUGUAUCUGUGGUGGGUUAAUGUAGUGUGGCUGUAGAUUGGCUGUAGAUUGGCUGUAUCUGUGGUGGAUUAAUGUAGUGUUGCUGUAUCUGUGGUGAGUUAAUGUAGUGUUGCUGUAUCUGUGGUGGGUUAAUGUAGUGUGGCUGUAUCUGUGGUUGGUUAAUGUAGUGUUGCUGUAUCUGUGGUGGGUUAAUGUAUUGUUGCUGUAUCUGUGGUGGGUUAAUGUAGUGUUGCUGUAUCUGUGGUGGGUUAAUGUAUUGUUGCUGUAUCUGUGGUCGGAUAAUGUAGUGUGGCUGUAUCUGUGGUGGGUUAAUGUAGUGUGGCUGUAUCUGUGGUGGAUUAAUGUAGUGUGGCUGUAUCUGUGGUGGGUUAAUGUAGUGUCGCUGUAUCUGUGGUGGGUUAAUGUAGUGUGGCUGUAUCUGUGGUGGGUUAAUGUAGUGUUGCUGUAUCUGUUGUUGGUUAAUGUAGUGUUGCUGUAUCUGUGGUGGGUUAAUGUAGUGUUGCUGUAUCUGUGGUGGGUUAAUGUAGUGUUGCUGUAUCUGUGGUGGGUUA